RNAcentral lists this ribosomal RNA (253 nucleotides) under uncultured bacterium. RNAcentral's name for it is "partial 16S ribosomal RNA". It matches the Rfam family "Bacterial small subunit ribosomal RNA", at positions 524 to 776 of the family's 1533-position model. The record is from RNAcentral.
UACGUAGGUGGCAAGCGUUGUCCGGAAUUAUUGGGCGUAAAGCGCGCGCAGGCGGUCCUUUAAGUCUGAUGUGAAAGCCCACGGCUCAACCGUGGAGGGUCAUUGGAAACUGGGGGGCUUGAGUACAGAAGAGAAGAGUGGAAUUCCACGUGUAGCGGUGAAAUGCGUAGAGAUGUGGAAGAACACCAGUGGCGAAGGCGGCUCACUGGCCCGGUACUGACGCUGAGGCGCGAAAGCGUGGGGAGCAAACAGG